This 253-nucleotide ribosomal RNA is filed under the name uncultured bacterium. Its description in RNAcentral is "partial 16S ribosomal RNA". It matches the Rfam family "Bacterial small subunit ribosomal RNA", at positions 524 to 776 of the family's 1533-position model. The record is from RNAcentral.
UACAGAGGGGGCAAGCGUUGUUCGGAAUUACUGGGCGUAAAGGGCGCGUAGGCGGCCUGCUAAGUCGAACGUGAAAUCCCUGGGCUCAACCCAGGAACUGCGUCCGAUACUGGUUGGCUUGAAUUCGGGAGAGGGAUGUGGAAUUCCAGGUGUAGCGGUGAAAUGCGUAGAUAUCUGGAGGAACACCGGUGGCGAAGGCGGCAUCCUGGACCGAUAUUGACGCUGAGACGCGAAAGCGUGGGGAGCAAACAGG